RNAcentral lists this ribosomal RNA (468 nucleotides) under uncultured bacterium. RNAcentral describes it as "partial 16S ribosomal RNA". It matches the Rfam family "Bacterial small subunit ribosomal RNA", at positions 28 to 507 of the family's 1533-position model. The record is from RNAcentral.
GACGAACGCUGGCGGCGUGCUUAACACAUGCAAGUCGAACGGAAAGGCCCUGCUUUUGUGGGGUGCUCGAGUGGCGAACGGGUGAGUAACACGUGAGUAACCUGCCCUUGACUUUGGGAUAACUUCAGGAAACUGGGGCUAAUACCGGAUAUGAGCUCCUGCUGCAUGGUGGGGGUUGGAAAGUUUCGGCGGUUGGGGAUGGACUCGCGGCUUAUCAGCUUGUUGGUGGGGUAGUGGCUUACCAAGGCUUUGACGGGUAGCCGGCCUGAGAGGGUGACCGGCCACAUUGGGACUGAGAUACGGCCCAGACUCCUACGGGAGGCAGCAGUGGGGAAUAUUGCAGAAUGGGCGGAAGCCUGAUGCAGCAACGCCGCGUGCGGGAUGACGGCCUUCGGGUUGUAAACCGCUUUCGCCUGUGACGAAGCGUGAGUGACGGUAAUGGGUAAAGAAGCACCGGCUAACUACGUG